UUUCAUAUCACAGUUUUAAGUCCUCACUUCCCGUUGAACAUCUCGACUGCUUGGUAACAUAAAAUCGGUCCUCCUGGUAGAAAAGUUGAUAAAAGUUGAAAACUUGAAAGCGUAUCACACAAAAAUGUACUGCAAUCUGAGGACGAUUGAAUUUCUUAAAAGCGUAUUUAAGAAAAAUCCACCGCCUGCUGAGGAAACGAAUCCUCCCACGUCGAGUGAAUCUGAACCUAGCACGGCGACAGAUUCACCAUCACCGACUUCAACCUCUGCACCCACGCCGACAUCAACGAAUGACCAACCACAAACAACCUCUCCAGAUUCUCCUUAAUCCAAUCAUGUAAAUGUAAUUUUUCCCCUAUUUGGUAACAAACUAUUACGAAUACGGCCUAAAUUUUGAGUGGCACAUUUUUCUGAUUAAUUAAUGUCUAUCAUUUCUACAAAUUCUACAAAAAAAUUUCUAAUUAAGUAAUUAAAUUUUGUAUUUAAUUCACGACACAUGCUUCGUGGUUAUAUAUGUGAAAUUGGAAACUUGAUUCAUUCCACAAUUUCACUUGGGUAUUAUCAAGUUAAUGCAAAAUAAAUUCAAUAUGUAAGAUAAUUUUCUUUA
Long non-coding RNA from Folsomia candida, 607 nucleotides. RefSeq lists it as uncharacterized. The record is from RefSeq and is a predicted model, not a curated record. The transcript is spliced from 2 exons. NCBI's taxonomy places the organism in Eukaryota, Metazoa, Arthropoda, Collembola, Entomobryomorpha, Isotomidae.